Molecule: RNA transcript, 2523 nt
Organism: Parus major (Great Tit)
Lineage: Eukaryota; Metazoa; Chordata; Aves; Passeriformes; Paridae
Gene name: basic proline-rich protein-like
Exons: 5
Source: RefSeq, a predicted model, not a curated record
CCGUGACAGGCCAUAAAAGUCACGAGGCAAGGAGGAAAACAAGAAGGUGUCCAUAGUUCAAGCACAGCACCCCCGCGACUCCCGGGCCGCAGCUCCCGGCGGGAGCUGAAAACCCGGCGAACACCGUGGGAUCUCGCUGCUGCGUGGGAGGCACCAUUUCUGCGAGAAGAGGCUCCUGCUGCUACUUGGCAGCCGAGCCUGGGAGCGGGCCUGCGCUCCGGGCCCUCCCUGCUGCCGACAGCGGGCGGGGGAGCGGGGGGCGGCACGGGCGCUGCCGUCGGGGCGCGGAGCCCCCAGGCAAAGAUGCGGCCCCCAGGGGCUGCCGCGGGCCGGGCGGACCGGAGUCCCUUCGCCGCCCACUCGGGGGGCACCGGGGCUUCCGCGGCGGCCGCGACCUCGCGGAGCUCCGCGCCCCGAUGGCGCCCGCACCGCGCGCCCGCACCGGGCCCGCAGCGGGAGGAGCGACGCUCUCCUUCCCCGGAGAUCCCUCCUCCCGUCCCCCUCGGGUCCUAAAAUGGUGGGUCGGCCGGCCGCCCUCCCUCCCCUUCCUUCUCCCCCUUAUCCCGUCCCCUGCCCGCCCCGCGCUCCCGGAGUCCGCCUGUCGCCCCCGCCCCGGCCUCGCGGGGCAGCCGCCCCUCCGUCCGUCCCGGCCCGGGCUCCGCGGGGAUCCGGCACCAGGCCCGCGCGUCUCCCGGGAAUACGGCAACGGCGAUCCCGGGAAUACGGCAACGCCGCCCCCGGCGGCCGCCCUUACCUGCGCCGUGCUCACAUCGCGGGGCCGGGGCCAGCGCUGCCCCCCCCGGCGCCCCUGGGCCGCCGCCUCGCCGCCGCCCUGUGCGGGGCCGCAGCUAAAUCCUUGUGCAAAUCUGAAGCAGAAUCCUCAUGCUGCAGUAAAUGGUUGCCCAGCCCAUGCUACCUUUCACAUCCACAUGCAGGCAUCAGGAGAAAUCAGGAGGUCAUCUGUUAAAAAAACCAGGCAAGAAAAGAAAGCAAUUGACCAGCAAAGAGAGACCUUCUUAAGUAAAACAGCCAGGUGCAGAGCUAUGGGAAGAGACUUCCCAGUCCCUGUACUGGAAAAGAACUGCUAAGGCUGGGAAAAAGGAAAUGGAAGGACACGCAAACACCUGUUAAAAGCUCUGCCAUCUGUAAAAGCAGGGACACAUUCUGCAUGCUUGGAGGUGCUCUGGGGUAAGAAAGGCAAGGCUGCCCUUUCAAGAGGGGAAACACUGACAAGACAGGGACUGACAAAGAGAAGUCUCCUCUGUGGUUCUGUGCUUGAAGAUGGGUAAGCACAAACACCUCAGCCACAGUCGGGCAGAAUUCAGCUGUGUUGUGGGGAGGCUCAGCUGGAGGGAGAGACAGAGCAGAAAAUGGCCCAAGGCAACAAAUGAGCAGCAAUGGCAACUGCAAGAGCUCCGGAAAGCAAAAAGAAGCAAAUCCAGAGAUGGGGGCUCCAGCUGAUGUGUCUCUGGCUAUUCAGACCAGUGUUGCUGAGAUGAAAAAGAAACAGAGUCUGAAAGAAAAGUCUCCUGUGCAUGCAGAGACACUUUUGUUCAAUACAUCUCAAAUAAUAUUUUAGAGAAUAGACAUAAAAUACUUCUAAAAAUGUACUGAACACACAAAACACAUCUCUUGUCCAAGAUCAAAAGAAAUAUGUUUUUCCAGUCACAAUGAAGCAAAGGGUAUAAAAAGCUGUAUUUCAGUCAUCAUUAUUACAUGUAUUUUCUUUCCAGCAGUGGACUGGAAAACUGGAUCCCAUAUAACCUAGGUGACACUGAGAAAACAAUCUCCUCAGAACCAGAUUCUUCUACUAGUAGCAUGCUGUGUCAUUGCAGAAAAAAAAAAAAAAAAAUAAAGACAGACCACUUUCCCUCAUAAAGGAAUGGUGUUUCUAAAGUGCCACAGUCCCACUGCAGGAUAGAGCUCUGCUAGCACAACAGAAAUUUACAGUAUUCUACAUCCCAGAGCUGGCAGCAGCAUUUGGGCACCAGCUGGUAACCACACAUCUGGCAUGGAGCGUCCUAGGGAUGCUCUGCUGGAAUUAGAGUAACUAAUUUGCUUUUUCCAGUAGCCUCCCAAUAUGACCCUGAGGGAGGAGCUAACUGGUAGAGAAACCAGCGAGGUGGCUGCUGUCAAAGUGAACCUUCUGGUUCUUUCCUUUUUAUAACUCCUCAAUACCUUCUGAAUUUGUCUCAUUAGUUAAUCAUGAAGUGAUUAAAUCCCAGGAAGAAGAGAAGUAUACCCUGUAACUUCUGCAACAGCAAAGGAAGGGUUGGUAGCCAGAUUCUCCUCUCCAUCUCCACAACCACAAAAAGUAAAGGGCAACUGGGCCAGGAGAAAUUAAUUAUUCCAGCCAAGUGACACUGAACAGUCAAAACAAACAAUGGCUUUGGAAAGGAACUCCAGUUAUGUGCUUACAUUGGUGAGCAAUCCCAUCCUAGCUGCUAGAGAACAGCUGUGAACCCUAAGGCCACUUUGAUUUGGCAUAGUUUAAAAUAAAUUAAUAAAGAUCUUAGAAAUAAA